CCCUGAGAGGAUCAGCAUCUUUGCUGUGUACAGAGUGAAAUUCAGCAGGCCACCACUGAGCUGGAUGACCCUUUAACCUUACAGCUGUGCAACCCUCCAGUCUGCUGUCAUGAGAUUUUCUCAUGCUCAUGAGGCGCAAACUUCCUGCUUCUUUUAUGGAAUCCUCAAGAGUUUCACCAAGACAAAUUCACUUUGACAUUAGAUGAAACUACUUUAUACCUCUGGGCAUCCAAAGGAUACUCCCCACCCCCUUCCCAGCUAGGAAGAGAGAGGUGAGAAAACUUCGUGAGAGAUUGUAGGAGCCAGAGGAACAGGGAGUUUGGUGUGAGACUGUGUCUCCUAGGAACAUCGGAAGCUACAUCUAAAAAACUACAGGCAGCUAAGAGUCGAAAGCUGGAGAAAUCCCCUUCUUUAGGAGAGAGCACAGGAAUUGGUUAUCCAAUACAAAAUGAUCAGCCCUGAAAAUGCAUAAAGCUUUGACGUUGAAUCAGCUGUAUUUUCGAAGGCUGCAAUUACAAAACCCAAUGGGAUACAGGAGUCCACAUGAAGGAAGAAACAAGGUUUGGUUUUGAGAUUUGAAUAGCUGUGCAGUAUCCAAAGUGGAGCAUACAAAUCAAUCUGUUAGUAAAAACGGAGUAUUUAAGGGCAAAUCUAAAGAAGAUCGUUCCAGUGUCUAUGCACAGGAACAUGUGUUUAUCUAGCCAUAUGGAAAAAAUUACUCAGGCAUCUAAUAUCUGGUUGAGAAGCUUAAAAAUGCCAUCAACUGAGUGGUUUAUUUAAAAUAAAAAAUCAGUUUUUGUCUCC
This is a long non-coding RNA of Mus pahari (shrew mouse), 804 nucleotides long. RefSeq lists it as uncharacterized. The transcript is spliced from 3 exons. The record is from RefSeq and is a predicted model, not a curated record. Lineage: Eukaryota; Metazoa; Chordata; Mammalia; Rodentia; Muridae.